RNAcentral lists this transfer RNA (77 nucleotides) under Serinibacter salmoneus. RNAcentral's name for it is "tRNA-Thr". It matches the Rfam family "tRNA". Rfam says of the family: Transfer RNA (tRNA) molecules are approximately 80 nucleotides in length. Their secondary structure includes four short double-helical elements and three loops (D, anti-codon, and T loops). Further hydrogen bonds mediate the characteristic L-shaped molecular structure. tRNAs have two regions of fundamental functional importance: the anti-codon, which is responsible for specific mRNA codon recognition, and the 3' end, to which the tRNAs corresponding amino acid is attached (by aminoacyl-tRNA synthetases). tRNAs cope with the degeneracy of the genetic code in two manners: having more than one tRNA (with a specific anti-codon) for a particular amino acid; and 'wobble' base-pairing, i.e. permitting non-standard base-pairing at the 3rd anti-codon position. Lineage: Bacteria; Bacillati; Actinomycetota; Actinomycetes; Micrococcales; Beutenbergiaceae. The record is from RNAcentral.
GCCUCCUUAGCUCAGUUGGCCAGAGCAGCUGUCUUGUAAACAGCAGGUCAUCGGUUCGAAUCCGAUAGGGGGCUCCA